This 68-nucleotide non-coding RNA is filed under the name unclassified sequences. The record is from RNAcentral.
GGGGCAAUAAGCCCCGCCUUAAUGCAGCCGACGGCGGUCACAAGCCCGCGUGUAAUGCAGAGUGAGGC